UGAGGAGAAGAGCAAACAAACAAAAGCAGAUAGCAGAGCAAGUAAGGGGGAGCAGAGAAAGCAAAGAGUAGCAGAGCAAGUCAGGGGGAGCAGAGAGCAGAGCAAGUAAGGGGGAGCAGAGCAAUCUAAGGUGUGACAAUGACACCUUACCUACCUGAGAUUGGAGACAAUGUGGACACACGUAAGAUGUGAAACCAUACCUACCUG
This is a non-coding RNA of Pelobates cultripes (western spadefoot toad), 207 nucleotides long. NCBI's taxonomy places the organism in Eukaryota, Metazoa, Chordata, Amphibia, Anura, Pelobatidae. The record is from the annotation of a GenBank genome assembly.